CUCCCAGCUUCCCAUCACAGUUCACCCACCCUGGGCUCACAGUGAGCAGAGGCCUUCCCCACAUCUCAUUUCCCCCUCAGAGCCCACUUGACCAAGCAUGGGCUUUGUGUUCUAUUGACUCAUUUAUUACACUUCCCCAGAUGAGUUUUCUUCAAGAUUCAGCCUCUUCCACUGCCAGCCCAAAACAGCCCUCCCAGAGCCCUGUUGCCAGUGCCCAUGUCCUCAGCACAGUUCAGCAGACAGCAGAGGCCCCAUCCCAAUGCCACAGACACCCCCACCCUCCCCUUUCCAUGCUACCCCCACAGCUCAGCCGCCGUCAGUGGCUCACCUUCUCAUCCUGAGGCACCUCACGGGCUGCAGCUCCUGCGCAGUGCACGGCCACCUGCAUCACUUGGGAGUCUUGUUUCUUGCUUCAAUGCACUCAGGAGCUUCCUCAGUCCCAACUGGUGCUCUUCCAUGUGUUUUGUCAACUCUUUACACUGAAGAGUGUCUGAGCACGGCAGUCCUGCCACCUCUCCCCAUUGUUCAGGGCACAGCAAAGCCUCUGCACUGAAAGGAGCUUUUGCUCAGGCACCUUCCUGCAGACUCACAGCAGUCCUGGGGCUACGGACACCCUUCCCCUCAAAGGUACCUCAGGCAAAAUCCCAUCAGCCCAGAAAGCACCUCCCCUGCUGCAUUUAUCCUCCCUGAAGGCCACCCCCAGGAGAGCUCCUUGAGUGCUGCCCCACCUCACCCAGCUGCAACCCAUCAGGCUGAUGGCACAUGGCAGCCCUGGAACCAUGAGAGCCAGAGAGCCGGCUGGGCCUGGCAGGGCAUAGAAAUGACAACUUACACGAAGAAUCAUGGAUGUCAUGGCAGCCAAGAGCCGUUAUUUAGACACAUUAACAGAACUCAUUUGUUGCCAGGGAAUCCAAAUAAAGCAGAUAAACCUUA
Long non-coding RNA from Pseudopipra pipra, 933 nucleotides. RefSeq lists it as uncharacterized. The record is from RefSeq and is a predicted model, not a curated record. The transcript is spliced from 2 exons. NCBI's taxonomy places the organism in Eukaryota, Metazoa, Chordata, Aves, Passeriformes, Pipridae.